RNAcentral lists this ribosomal RNA (448 nucleotides) under uncultured bacterium. Its description in RNAcentral is "bacterial SSU rRNA". It matches the Rfam family "Bacterial small subunit ribosomal RNA", at positions 329 to 793 of the family's 1533-position model. The record is from RNAcentral.
CGCCAGACUCCUACGGGAGGCAGCAGUGAGGGAUAUUGGGCAAUGGGGGAAACCCUGACCCAGCGACGCCGCGUGAGGGAAGACGGUCUUCGGAUUGUAAACCUCUGUCUUUGGGGACGAAAAAGGACGGUACCCAAGGAGGAAGCUCCGGCUAACUACGUGCCAGCAGCCGCGGUAAUGCGUAGGGGGCAAGCGUUAUCCGGAUUCACUGGGUGUAAAGGGAGCGUAGACGGCGACGCAAGUCUGGAGUGAAAGCCCGGGGCCCAACCCCGGGACUGCUCUGGAAACUGCGUCGCUGGAGUACGGGAGGGGCAGGCGGAAUUCCUGGUGUAGCGGUGAAAUGCGUAGAUAUCAGGAGGAACACCGGCGGCGAAGGCGGCCUGCUGGACCGUGACUGACGUUGAGGCUCGAGAGCGUGGGGAGCAAACAGGAUUAGAUACCCCAGUAC